This 240-nucleotide unclassified non-coding RNA is filed under the name soil metagenome. Its description in RNAcentral is "partial contains 5.8S ribosomal RNA, internal transcribed spacer 2, and large subunit ribosomal RNA". The record is from RNAcentral.
AACGCACGAGACCUGCGGACCUGCGGAGGGAUCAUUACAUGGCGGAGGAGGUGGGCACCUAGUAAAAACAAAACCCUAGGUGUGUUGCCUACCACGCUUUCUACCCUUGUCUAUUUGCACCUUUUGUCGUUCCCUCGGUGGGUCUUGAACCUGCCGGCGGCAACUUUCAAAAACCUUUUGUAGUUAGUAUCUAAUUCUUCUGAUCAAAUAUUCAAUCGUUACAACUUUCAGCAACGGAUC